AAAAAACCUGUAUUAGUACUGUCACAAUGGAAAUAGUUUCCUGAUAUCAAAUGUCAUGGAUCGGACCACUUGCGACUUAAAUGAAAAACAAAUGUUGCCAGAAGCAUAAAAAUAUCAAGACACAUAGCAUGGCAGUGCACCAACCUAAUAAAUCAACUGCCUGACAAAAUGUGAAGAAUAGGGUACAAGAACUACCAUAUGAGCCAUUGGAGCAGUAGUUUUAAAAAGGACAACUCAAAUAAAAGGAAAUAAGAGUACAUACUUGGAAUGGAUAAUGAUGGUGUAACAAAAACAUCAAUAAUAGAUUCAAUUUCAGCCCCAUACAGUGAGGGAAAUUCCCUGCUUGCUAGAGAACCAAUCUUUCAAACCACUUAAGUAAUGAAUUUUAUAUUUUAGCCUGCAUGGUCAAAGAGUUUUAUGAGCGCCAUAAAAAUUUCAAUGGCAUUGCAAUAACAUUACCAAAUUAUAUUGGUCUUGCAGACUUCGAACAAAUUCAGAAACCACUUUACUAAUUCAAAUGAAAGGGGAAAAAUGCAUGAUGGGGGUGAAGUUCUUGAGCAGGUUGGCACAUAACAAAUACACCACAUUUUUUUAUGCAUCAAACCUGACACUCACAAGUCACAAAAUACCACUGCAGUCAGAAUUCUCAAAUGUAAUAAAACUGUUCUGAGAAUAUAUUUUUAUGGUAAAUCUAACUAUGGUGUUCCAGUUGUAUCGAUACAAUUAUAUAACUAGUGAAACAAAUACAAUAUCUUAAAUUUGAAGCUGCAAAAUAGAAUAUCAUGAUUGCCAUGAGAUCCGAUCAUGAAAGGUCAAUUAUCAUUAUCUUUUCAUAUGUACUAAGUGGUACUCAAGGUAUGGUGUCACUGUGAUAGCUCACCUAAAAUAAUUUCGUUAAAUAGUCGCAAGCUAACGAAUUUUACAACAUCCUAAAUAAUUCAGUUAAACAUUUACAUGCAAAAGAGUUUCAACCCUUCCCACUUAAUAUUGUUUUACUGGCAGAGUUGGAACUCCACUCCUAAGUAAACAGAAACAACCAAGUUAAACAUUCCACAAAUAUAUCACAUAUUUAUCAAUCUUGUGAAUCUGAAGUUUUGAAACCAACUUUUGGACACUGAAACUUGCAUACUGUAAAAUCUACAGAAGAAAGUCGAAACAAAGCAACAAUAAAUGAUAGAAGAAAGAGAGGCAUAUACCGGAAUCAAAGUAGAUGGCACGUAUCCAACCUUGUGAACCAGCACACCCCGGUGCUUUUUGGUCGUCCCUGGCCACAAAUAUUUUGUCCUCCCUUUAUAGGCUAUCUUCCCUUCGUUUCUGAAAGUUGAUGUAAGGAGACGUCGUGGCUGCCCUGCUCCUGCUAGGACCGUUGCCGCUCCAUGCUCUUCUUUGUAACAAGAUGAUACAAAAGAUAUAUCACUUCGAUUAUUUUUGCCCAAAGCAGUUACCAUAAUAUAUCAGUGUCAACACUACUACAAACAUGAAGGUCUUAAACUACUACAUUCAGAUCUACUGGAGCAAGUAAAUUUUGAAUAAGAUACUUUGUUCAGCUUCAAUGGAUUUGAGGGAGUAGAAAAAUUCAAUGAACAAAAGCUACAACAGGUGUUUCCCUCCUUUUAAGGGUUACAGAUAACAUGCCUACAACAAGCAAAUGUCACUGUCCUUUAGAAAGCAAGCAUGCCUAUUUUUUCUGAUGAAACUGGGCUGUAUAUAUCUCUUAAGAAACUGCAGCACGGAUAUGAAACAUUGCAUGCCUCAAUAAAAGAUGAUGUUCCAUGGAAGCCACCCGGUGAAUCCCAAAAUAUUUACAUCUUGCACAACUCCUUCUGAAGCACACAUAAUUUUUUUUAUGUGCCAACCACCAUAGCUAAGUCUUUAUACAAGAGACUUUUUUUUACAGUUCUAUGUAGAUUCUGCUACCAACAAGCCUAUAAGCAUGACGAAGGUAAGAUUGCCAGCUAAGGUAAUGGAUUAACAUUUAUUUGGAAGCAAUGUAAUAUGGAGAACCAUCACCUUAAAAUCAGAUACAUGGAUUUAGAAGUAAGCAAGAAAACUAUCACCCCAAAUUCAGAUACCUGGUUUCAGAAGUAAGCAAGUAUUAACAAAGUCCAACGACAUAACAACGGGGAUUUUGUUUAUACAAAAAGCAGAGGCACCAAACAUCUGUUUGCUCCAUGAAACAAACAUCUCUCGCUUAGCCAUGUACAUGAAACAAACAUACAUGACAUACGUAUGAUAUAGACGCGGGAAUGGGAAUUAGGACCUGAUUCAUCCAUACUGUAGGCGAGCAUGCAUAGCUGCUGCUGGAUGCCCUCCUCGACAAAUGCUGAGCCUUGCAUCACGAUCUUAGGAGGC
Molecule: long non-coding RNA, 2352 nt
Filed under: Triticum aestivum (bread wheat)
Lineage: Eukaryota; Viridiplantae; Streptophyta; Magnoliopsida; Poales; Poaceae
Description: long non-coding RNA (TAES_LNC021928)
Source: RNAcentral